AGCAUGUUAUAGUGUCUGUGGAGAAGUUGUUUGUGAAUGUUGAGUUUGUAUGUUGGUUCAAACGAAUGGUUGCUAAUUUAUUUUCGUCGUUUGGUGUGAAAGGUAUUUAAUAUAUUCCAGAAAUGACGUAGCUGUGCUGGAUAGUGUGAGACCACUGAGUUUGAAGAAACGUUAGUGUGAAAAUUAUGGCCGAUAUCAGUCAGCUUUCAAAUGAAGAAAUUAGGGCUGAGUUGCUAAGAUUCGGAUAUCAUGUGGGGCCAGUGACACAGUACUCCCGAAAUGUUUAUAUUAAGCGGCUUCAACAACUUUUAUCUGAAGAUGAGGAUAAGCAUACGAAAUCGGAUAUUAGGACAAGACUAGCAACAUUAAGGCUUUCAACAUUAAGCUCAGAAGAAGAUACCGACGAAGCAGGAACAGCAUCUUCGAACAGAGGUGGUAGAAAGAAGAGAAGAAGUUCGCACUUUCCGCCGAGCAACGUACCGCAUAGAAAUUCACGCGCAGCACCAGACAUACAAGAUCCUUGCAUUGUUAAUGCGUUCAGAGUACCAGUUAUUCGACCAGCACGUAGAAGUCUAUUGGAGAGAGCAACUGGGGAAGUGAGAGAACGUGCAGAAUUCAGAGGCCGUUAUGCAGAUUAUUCAUCAGGACUGGAAAGUUCGGAAUCUGACGAUGCGGAUGCACGAUCUGGGUUUCAAUCUCGUAAAAAAAAUGUAUCAUCGGACGUCACAAGUAGGCCUAUUUACCAUUCCAAAACAGCUGAGAGUCGUAGGAAGUUGUUACCUACAGGGACAUCAACUUCAACCUGGCUGUCCACUAUUCGCUCUGUCCUUAACCCACUGGGUUCUCUGAUGUCAGGCUUUUCAAGGCGUUCUCGUGUGUCAGACAGCCGUAUAGAAAACAAUGGGUAUAUUCCACAACCCAGCAGGUUUGGCAGUUUGGAACGACAAGGUAACAGAACUAUAGAAAGUUUCCCGACAACGGAAGAGAGGAAUUGGUUUUCACGAAAUUGUCAAGUUGUGCCGAAGACACUUGUUUUGAUUGUGAUGCUUUUUUUCCUUGGCCUGGGAGUAUCAUAUGCAGCUCUAGGAAGAGUUAAGUCAUACCGGAGUCACACAGGAAACAAUUACCCCAUCUGUUCAAACCAAGCAAUUCCCUCGAGAAACUGUGUGCCGAGGGAUAAGCUGCACGCAGCUACCAGUUUAUUUAAGAUUGCUGCUCCACUCAUUCAAGAGAAAUCUGAAGAAUAUGCCUGCCUGUCGCUAUAUGGACAAGCAGAACGGACACUUUUGACAAGUUCUGCUCUCUUGGCUUACGUGAAAGAGAAGGGAUAUUUUUAUGACCAAGAUGACAUUAAGAAUAUGGAUGUUCUCAUAUUAUUCAAUCGUCACUGGGGAUAUACACUAAACAGGACAGGUGGAGGAGAAGUUAUGUAUGUUUAUACAAUGAGAGCACCUGUUAAGUGCUAUUUAAUGUAUCACCUCAGUUGGUUCGUGAAUCGAUUGGUCGAAGCUGCACUUUGUGUGGUGGUGAUUUAUAUUAUCUUUAAGCUGCUGUCAGUUUACAAAGCACAUGCUGAAACUCACAAAAGAAAUGUUCGUGCAAUGGUGGGUCGAAUUACUAAGUUUCUUAGAACAGAAUCUGACAACAAUGCUGAAGAACCAUUUUUUGUUGUUAUUGAUUAUGUUCGUGACCAGCUGAUACCAGCGAAAGACUAUAAACGCAUGGCUUUGGUUUGGACGUCAGCUGUUAAUUUUAUUAGACACAAUGAUCCACGUAUUAAGGAAGAACAGUGUGUCGUUAAUGGAGAACUGAAGACCGUGUGGCGCUGGUUGCCAGAGUCUGGAAAUGCAUCAUCUGAGCAAACACAAGAAUUUAAUAAAUCUUCACAAGGACGUCGUUCAGUUUUGUCCAAUGAAAAUUUUUCUGGUUCGAGUGGUGAAGAUAUCAAUCAGGAGAAACUGUCCAGAAGCAAUAGUCACCGAAGCAGUAAGAUCUGGCAAGGUCAAGCAUUUGAAACCAUGGCGGGAAGUCCAAACUCUGUGCCUUGCAGCCCAACACCUUGUCUGAAAAUUCGACACAUGUUUGAUCCAGAUGCUGAGCAUGGUGAAGACUGGCCAACAUUUAUUCGAGACGCCAUACUAGAAAAGUGUGAGGGAGUGGCCAUCCUUCAUCUCUUUGUUGACAAAGCUUCUCGUGAAGGAUGUGUGUAUGUGAAGUGUCAGACACCAGAAGAUGCAGGCAGAGCGUAUUGUGCACUGCAUGGCUGGUGGUUUGGUAAUUAUGUAGGUGCAUCAUUAUCACAGUGUUGUCUGCUAACUAGAGUCUGCAGUGAUCAGAAAUCAGUCAAUACCAAUUGAUGUCAUUCAACUUCAGUCAGCUCAGCAACAUUCAUCAGCCACAGCACCAAGAGUCUUCUUAAGCACACCUUGUCACAGUCAAAUACCUUAGGAUUGAAAGAUACCAUGAACGCUUUCCUGAAGCAGUGAAUGCUAAAACUGUACUGAAGCCUUCCAACAAUCAAAGAUUGUCCUUGGGAGACUAGCAUCAUUA
This 2550-nucleotide unclassified non-coding RNA is filed under the name Schistocerca americana (American grasshopper). RNAcentral's name for it is "inner nuclear membrane protein Man1, transcript variant X1". The record is from RNAcentral. Lineage: Eukaryota; Metazoa; Arthropoda; Insecta; Orthoptera; Acrididae.